UCAUUUUAAUAUCAGAUUUUUUUUCUACAGGAACUGUGAUCACCUCACCCACCAAGUCAUUGCUACUAGAACUUCUUAGACAAGAAACAUGAAGUGAGACUGAAGUGGAUAGGCAUCCGGCAGCCAGCCAAGAUCAACACAUCACAAUAGUUCAAAACCCUAAAUCUUACUGCAUGCUAUGCAUCUCUAGAAUUUAAUAAAGCAAGAUUUGGACAGGUG
This 219-nucleotide long non-coding RNA is filed under the name Phasianus colchicus (ring-necked pheasant). RNAcentral describes it as "lncRNA (ENSPCLG00000016979.1)". The record is from RNAcentral. Lineage: Eukaryota; Metazoa; Chordata; Aves; Galliformes; Phasianidae.